GGGCGGUUAGCUCAAUGGUAGAGCGUUCGCUUGACGUGCGAAAGGUUGAAGGUUCGAGUCCUUCACCGCCCA
This 72-nucleotide transfer RNA is filed under the name Candidatus Parcubacteria bacterium. RNAcentral describes it as "tRNA-Val". It matches the Rfam family "tRNA". Rfam says of the family: Transfer RNA (tRNA) molecules are approximately 80 nucleotides in length. Their secondary structure includes four short double-helical elements and three loops (D, anti-codon, and T loops). The record is from RNAcentral. Lineage: Bacteria; Candidatus Parcubacteria.